GAUGAACGCUGGCGGCGUGCCUAAUACAUGCAAGUCGAGCGAACAGACGAGGAGCUUGCUCCUCUGACGUUAGCGGCGGACGGGUGAGUAACACGUGGAUAACCUACCUAUAAGACUGGGAUAACUUCGGGAAACCGGAGCUAAUACCGGAUAAUAUAUUGAACCGCAUGGUUCAAUAGUGAAAGACGGUUUUGCUGUCACUUAUAGAUGGAUCCGCGCCGCAUUAGCUAGUUGGUAAGGUAACGGCUUACCAAGGCGACGAUGCGUAGCCGACCUGAGAGGGUGAUCGGCCACACUGGAAAUGAGAAACGGUCCAGACUCCUACGGGAGGCAGCAGUAGGGAAUCUUCCGCAAUGGGCGAAAGCCUGACGGAGCAACGCCGCGUGAGUGAUGAAGGUCUUCGGAUCGUAAAACUCUGUUAUUAGGGAAGAACAAAUGUGUAAGUAACUAUGCACGUCUUGACGGUACCUAAUCAGAAAGCCACGGCUAACUACGUG
Molecule: ribosomal RNA, 497 nt
Filed under: uncultured bacterium
Lineage: Bacteria
Description: partial 16S ribosomal RNA
Rfam family: Bacterial small subunit ribosomal RNA
Source: RNAcentral